GCCCACGUAAUUCAACUGGAUAGAAUAUCCGACUUCUAAUCGGGCUGUUGGGGGUUCGAGUCCUCCCGUGGGCGCCA
RNAcentral lists this transfer RNA (77 nucleotides) under Paracoccus sp. (in: a-proteobacteria). RNAcentral describes it as "tRNA-Arg". It matches the Rfam family "tRNA". Rfam says of the family: Transfer RNA (tRNA) molecules are approximately 80 nucleotides in length. Their secondary structure includes four short double-helical elements and three loops (D, anti-codon, and T loops). Lineage: Bacteria; Pseudomonadati; Pseudomonadota; Alphaproteobacteria; Rhodobacterales; Paracoccaceae. RNAcentral also lists the same sequence under 50 other names. The record is from RNAcentral.